RNAcentral lists this ribosomal RNA (496 nucleotides) under uncultured bacterium. RNAcentral's name for it is "partial 16S ribosomal RNA". It matches the Rfam family "Bacterial small subunit ribosomal RNA", at positions 28 to 506 of the family's 1533-position model. The record is from RNAcentral.
GACGAACGCUGGCGGCGUGCCUAAUACAUGCAAGUUGAGCGCUGAAGGUUGGUACUUGUACCAACUGGAUGAGCAGCGAACGGGUGAGUAACGCGUGGGGAAUCUGCCUUUGAGCGGGGGACAACAUUUGGAAACGAAUGCUAAUACCGCAUAAAAACUUUAAACACAAGUUUUAAGUUUGAAAGAUGCAAUUGCAUCACUCAAAGAUGAUCCCGCGUUGUAUUAGCUAGUUGGUGAGGUAAAGGCUCACCACGGCGAUGAUACAUAGCCGACCUGAGAGGGUGAUCGGCCACAUUGGGACUGAGACACGGCCCAAACUCCUACGGGAGGCAGCAGUAGGGAAUCUUCGGCAAUGGACGAAAGUCUGACCGAGCAACGCCGCGUGAGUGAAGAAGGUUUUCGGAUCGUAAAACUCUGUUGGUAGAGAAGAACGUUGGUGAGAGUGGAAAGCUCAUCAAGUGACGGUAACUACCCAGAAAGGGACGGCAAACUACGU